GAAAAAAAAAGGAAAAAAAAAAAAUAUUAGAUUAGAACAUCAUGGCACAAAUUUGAAAAUUCCCACAUUCUACACCAAAGAUCCUUUUUUCUUCUGAACUUCUCUUCUGAAAAACACACGUACAUACACUCUUCUUUUUGUUUCAGUUAAUCAACAUCCACUUCAAAAUUUGUGAUCUGAUUACAGCUCUAACUGCCAUUACCUGUGCAUUAACUGGUAAAAGAUGAUGAUUUGGCUGACGAACAUUUCACAUCUAUGACUACUAGAAAAAGAAAACAAGCAACAUGCAUGAUGGUAUUGACUCACCUGGAAUUUGCUGUAUGCAAUUCG
Molecule: unclassified non-coding RNA, 330 nt
Filed under: Hevea brasiliensis (rubber tree)
Lineage: Eukaryota; Viridiplantae; Streptophyta; Magnoliopsida; Malpighiales; Euphorbiaceae
Source: RNAcentral